CCUACUGGUGACAGCAGUGGGGAAUAUUGCACAAUGGGGGCAACUCUGAAGCAGCGACGCCGCGUGAAGGAAGAAGUAUUUCGGUAUGUAAACUUCUAUCAGCAGGGAGGAAAAUGACGAUACGUGAAUCAGAAGCCCCGGCUAACUACGUGCCAGCAGCCGCGGUAAUACGUAGGGGGCAAGCGUUAUCCGGAUUUACUGGGUGUAAAGGGAGCGUAGGCGGUUUAGAAAGUCAGAAGUGAAAGCCCGGGGCUCAACUCCGGGACUGCUUUUGAAACUGUGGAACUAGAGUGCAGGAGAGGUAAGUGGAAUUUCUAGUGUAGCGGUGAAAUGCGUAGAUAUUAGGCGGAACACCAGUGGCGAAGGCAGCUUAC
This 374-nucleotide ribosomal RNA is filed under the name uncultured bacterium. Its description in RNAcentral is "partial 16S ribosomal RNA". It matches the Rfam family "Bacterial small subunit ribosomal RNA", at positions 338 to 729 of the family's 1533-position model. The record is from RNAcentral.